Molecule: ribosomal RNA, 253 nt
Filed under: uncultured bacterium
Lineage: Bacteria
Description: partial 16S ribosomal RNA
Rfam family: Bacterial small subunit ribosomal RNA
Source: RNAcentral
UACAGAGGUCUCAAGCGUUGUUCGGAUUUAUUGGGCGUAAAGGGCGCGUAGGCGGCGGGGUAAGUCGGGUGUGAAAUCUCAGGGCUCAACCCUGAAACUGCACUUGAUACUGCUCUGCUUGAGGACUGGAGAGGAGACUGGAAUUCACGGUGUAGCAGUGAUAUGCGUAGAUAUCGUGAGGAAGACCAGUGGCGAAGGCGGGUCUCUGGACAGUUCCUGACGCUGAGGCGCGAAGGCCAGGGGAGCAAACGGG